RNAcentral lists this ribosomal RNA (97 nucleotides) under uncultured bacterium. Its description in RNAcentral is "partial 16S ribosomal RNA". It matches the Rfam family "Bacterial small subunit ribosomal RNA", at positions 1388 to 1482 of the family's 1533-position model. The record is from RNAcentral.
CACCGCCCGUCACAUCACGAAAGUCGGUUGUGCCGGAAGUCGGUGCGCGAACCCGCAAGGGAAGCAGCCGCCCAUGGUAUGGCUGGCGAUUGGGGUG